CACGUAGGGGGCGAGCGUUGUCCGGAUUCAUUGGGCGUAAAGCGCGCGCAGGCGGCUCGGAAAGUCGGGUGUGAAAACUCGGGGCUCAACCCCGGGCGUGCAUCCGAUACUGCCGGGCUUGAGGCAGGUAGGGGAGAUCGGAAUUCCUGGUGUAGCGGUGAAAUGCGCAGAUAUCAGGAGGAACACCGGUGGCGAAGGCGGAUCUCUGGGCCUGUCCUGACGCUGAGGCGCGAAGGCCAGGGGAGCAAACGGG
RNAcentral lists this ribosomal RNA (253 nucleotides) under uncultured bacterium. RNAcentral describes it as "partial 16S ribosomal RNA". It matches the Rfam family "Bacterial small subunit ribosomal RNA", at positions 524 to 776 of the family's 1533-position model. The record is from RNAcentral.